CAUCGUUUUUUGUAAUAUUUAUAUAAAAUAUAACCUGCCCUAUGAAAAUUUAAAUGGCUGCGGUAUUUUGACCGUACAAAGGUAGCAUAAUAAUUAGUCUCUUAAUUAGAAACUGGAAUGAAUGGUUGGACGAGAAAAUUUCUGUCUUUAUUUAAUUUAUUAUAAUUUAAUUUUUAAGUUAAAAAGCUUAAAUAUUUUUAAAAGACGAGAAGACCCUAUAGAGUUUAAUAUUUAAUGAUUUUUAUUUAUUUAAGAAUUUAAUUUAUUAAUUUUGUAAAAUAUUUUAUUGGGGUGAUAGGAGGAUUUAAUAAACUCUUUUUAACUUGAAUUUAUUUAUUUAUAUACAUUUGAUCCAAUUAUUUUGAUUAUAAGAAUAAAUUACCUUAGGGAUAACAGCGUAAUCUUUUUAGAGAGUUCUUAUCGAUAAAAGGGAUUGCGACCUCGAUGUUGGAUUAAAAUUAAUUUUUGGUGUAGGUGCUUAAAAAUUAAGUCUGUUCGACUUUUAAAAUUUUACAUGAUCUGAGU
RNAcentral lists this ribosomal RNA (525 nucleotides) under Ptilodactylidae sp. UPOL RK0827. Its description in RNAcentral is "partial 16S ribosomal RNA". The stretch from base 389 to 525 matches the Rfam family "Bacterial large subunit ribosomal RNA", at positions 2473 to 2610 of the family's 2925-position model. The record is from RNAcentral. Lineage: Eukaryota; Metazoa; Arthropoda; Insecta; Coleoptera; Ptilodactylidae.